GGUCCCAUCGUCUAGUGGCCUAGGACGUCGCCCUCUCAAGGCGAAAACACGGGUUCGACUCCCGUUGGGACCGCCA
Molecule: transfer RNA, 76 nt
Filed under: Deltaproteobacteria bacterium
Lineage: Bacteria; Pseudomonadati; Myxococcota; Myxococcia
Description: tRNA-Glu
Rfam family: tRNA
About the family: Transfer RNA (tRNA) molecules are approximately 80 nucleotides in length. Their secondary structure includes four short double-helical elements and three loops (D, anti-codon, and T loops).
Source: RNAcentral